GCUCGGAGGCACACCACCGGGCGGCGGGCACCGCCGCGCCCAGCCCAGCGCGCCCAGCCCAGCCCUCCCACCCCGCAAAACGCCGGCCGAAACUCGGCCACGCCGAGGAGCGCCGCCCGGGAAGAGCCUUUUACCGCUGGGCCCCGCCGGCGACCGCGGUCCCGCGUGUCGUGUCCCCGCUCUCCCCCCACGCCCCCUCGCCAUUCCCCUCAGAUGGAGAAACAGUCACACUUCCCUGGGAUCACACUGUGGGGUGAGUGGUGCAGCCAGGAUUAGAGCUCAAGACCUCCAAAACGUGCUGCCAUAUGGUCAGAGAUCUGGAGAGGAGACAACUGAAACGAUGAGCACUGAACACUUCUGCUUCCACUGCGUCUGGAGUACAAAAACCAGGCAGCCAUUUACUGGCUCCUGCUGCCAAUCGAUGGCCCAUGGAUAGGACAUGGUCUGCCAGAACAUCUCACAUCUACAGCCCAGCUUUAACCUCUCCAGCAGCAAUUGAUGUGCACAGUCCCAGCUGGGCGCUAAGGCACUCGGUGGGCCCUGCUGACUGCCUCUGUGCCAGAACUGCCUUGUUCACUUCUGGCAGUGGAAGCCAGGACUAGCUCUGCACACCAGGCAAGAGCUCCUCACCCACAGAGUGGGCUCCUGGCACCGCUCGCAGCUGGCAAGUCACUGCUGCUCAGUGCUGCAGCUACGGCUGCACAGGUGGGGGUCAGCGCCCACACAAGCAAACCUUUCAUCUCCCUUCCCACAGUAGAUGGAAGAGGGGCUAAGCAACUACACCCCUCUUAAGCUGAGGGAUGUAAGUCUAAAAGCACCCUCAGGGACAAUGACAGGAUAGUAUAUUGGAUCCAUUUUCUCUCCCAGAAUGAAAAGCCUUCAUUUGGCUUCACUGGGACUUGAUUUAGUCGUAAUUUGGAUGCAUCUAAGCCAGCAGACACCCUAAUCUCCUGGUUUGUCCCUCUCCCCUACAGGCUUCACCAGCAGCUGUUCUCCUUCCACGCUUCUGGGAAUUUUGGUCUUUGCUUCUCUCUAGACACCAAGACUUGCAUAUCUUCAAAA
Tyto alba (common barn owl) is the source of this 1062-nucleotide long non-coding RNA. RefSeq lists it as uncharacterized. NCBI's taxonomy places the organism in Eukaryota, Metazoa, Chordata, Aves, Strigiformes, Tytonidae. The record is from RefSeq and is a predicted model, not a curated record. The transcript has 3 exons.